UACGUAGGCAGCAAGCGUUGUCCGGAUUCAUUGGGCGUAAAGAGCGUGUAGGCGGUUUGGUAGGUCCGCUGUGAAAACUCGAGGCUCAACCUCGAGACGCCGGUGGAAACCAUCAGGCUAGAGUCCGGAAGAGGAGAGUGGAAUUCCUGGUGUAGCGGUGAAAUGCGUAGAUAUUGCUCGGAAGGCCAACGGCGAAGGCAGGUUACUGGUGCGCAACUGACACUGAGGCACGAAAGCGUGGGGAGCAAACAGG
Molecule: ribosomal RNA, 253 nt
Filed under: uncultured bacterium
Lineage: Bacteria
Description: partial 16S ribosomal RNA
Rfam family: Bacterial small subunit ribosomal RNA
Source: RNAcentral